Molecule: ribosomal RNA, 497 nt
Filed under: uncultured bacterium
Lineage: Bacteria
Description: SSU rRNA
Rfam family: Bacterial small subunit ribosomal RNA
Source: RNAcentral
GGGACGAACGCUGGCGGCGUGCUUAACACAUGCAAGUCGAGCGCUGAAGCCUUUCGGGGUGGAUGAGCGGCGAACGGGUGAGUAACACGUGGGUGACCUGCCCUCUACUCUGGGAUAAGCUUGGGAAACUGGGUCUAAUACCGGAUAUGACUUCAUGCUUCAUGGUGUGGGGUGGAAAGCUCUGUUCCUUUUGGGGAUGGUGUGGUGGGGGAUGGGCCCGCGGCCUAUCAGCUUGUUGGUGGGGUGAUGGCCUACCAAGGCUUCGACGGGUAGCCGGCCUGAGAGGGCGUCCGGCCACACUGGGACUGAGACACGGCCCAGACUCCUACGGGAGGCAGCAGUGGGGAAUAUUGCGCAAUGGGCGGAAGCCUGACGCAGCGACGCCGCGUGGGGGAUGACGGCCUUCGGGUUGUAACCUCUUUCGACCUCGACGAAGCUUUUCGGAGUGACGGUAGGGUGGAAGAAGCACCGGCCAACUACGUGCCAGCAGCCGCGGU